Molecule: ribosomal RNA, 301 nt
Filed under: uncultured bacterium
Lineage: Bacteria
Description: partial 16S ribosomal RNA
Rfam family: Bacterial small subunit ribosomal RNA
Source: RNAcentral
CAGUCGCCACGGGAAUACGUAGGGCGCAAGCGUUAUCCGGAAUUAUUGGGCGUAAAGAGCUCGUAGGCGGUUUGUCGCGUCUGCCGUGAAAGUCCGGGGCUCAACCCCGGAUCUGCGGUGGGUACGGGCAGACUAGAGUGAUGUAGGGGAGACUGGAAUUCCUGGUGUAGCGGUGAAAUGCGCAGAUAUCAGGAGGAACACCGAUGGCGAAGGCAGGUCUCUGGGCAUUAACUGACGCUGAGGAGCGAAAGCAUGGGGAGCGAACAGGAUUAGAUACCCGUGAGUCCCUGUCUCUUAUACA